Molecule: ribosomal RNA, 366 nt
Filed under: Ixodes scapularis (black-legged tick)
Lineage: Eukaryota; Metazoa; Arthropoda; Arachnida; Ixodida; Ixodidae
Description: partial 12S ribosomal RNA
Source: RNAcentral
UAAAAAAUUUUGGCGGUAUUUUAAGCUUAUUAGAGGAAUUUGCUCUGUGAUGGACACAACGCCUUAAUCUUACUUAAUUUAGUAAUUUAAAUCAGUUUGUAUACCACUAUAUUAAUUAUAUUGAAUAGUUAUAUUUAAAAUUUUUUUAAAAAAAUAUAUUAAGUCAAGGUGCAUCUAAUAAUUAUGAAUGAAGUGAAUUACAUUAAUUUUAAUGUAAUUUUUUAUAUGAAAAAAUUAAUUAGGAUUUAAUAGUAAAAUACUAAUAUUAUGAGUAUUUGAAUCAAGCUCUAAAAUAUGCACAUAUCGCCCGUCGCUCUCAGAAGUGAGAUAAGUCGUAACAAAGUAAAAAUACUGGAAAGUGUUUUU